AUGGAUUCCAGAACAGCAUUCUGCGGCACUCUCCUACUGCUGGUAAUACUGCUGCCUGUUUCAGCUAACGCGUCGAGUAAACUCUACAUCGUGUAUAUGGGGGAGAAGAGGCAUGAUGAUCCAUCCAUGGUCACCGCGUCUCACCGUGACAUGCUAACCUCUGUUUUUGGGAGCAAGGAUGAAGCCUUGAGGUCGAUAGUUUACAGUUACAAGCAUGGAUUUUCUGGUUUUGCGGCGAUGCUCACCGAGUCUCAGGCUGAGACAAUCGCAAAAUUCCCAGAAGUUGUCACUGUGAAGCCUAACACUUAUCACGAAACGCACACAACUCGGAGCUGGGACUUUCUUGGCCUUGACCAUAACCAACCAGGACAACAACCGGGCCUACUCAGAAAAGCAAAGUAUGGUGAAGAUGUCAUCGUGGGUGUGAUCGAUACAGGCAUAUGGCCUGAAUCACGAAGCUUUGAUGACAAUGGGUAUGGCCCUGUGCCGGCACGGUGGAAAGGGAAAUGCCAGACUAGUCAGGAUUUCAACGCCACAAGUUGCAACAAAAAGAUCAUCGGUGCGCGGUGGUAUGGGCGUGGAAUCAGUGACGAGGUGCUAAACAGAAACUAUAAGUCGCCUAGGGACAUUGAAGGCCAUGGCACACACGUCGCGUCGACCAUCGCCGGCAGGGAAGUGCAGGGUGUGAGCUACGGAGGCCUAGGCAUGGGUGUGGCACGCGGCGGGGCGCCACGUGCGCGGCUCAGUAUCUACAAGGUGUGUUGGUUGGGUGGGAGUUGCCCUGAAGCAGCGGUCCUCGCGGCUAUCGAUGAUGCUAUGCAUGACGGUGUGGACGUCUUGUCGCUCUCGAUUGCUGGGGCUGGUCAUGAGUUUCCUGGGACGCUGCAUGCUGUGCAAAGAGGGAUCUCUAUCGUGGGCGACUUUAAAGACCUUGUUUAUGCCGGGAGCUGUGACACGGAGUCGUCACUGGCAUUGAGCAACGUCACCGGUAAAAUCGUCCUAUGCUAUCAACCCGUGGCGGCGAGAAGCAUGCCGCCUCGACAAGCACUUCCCAUAGCCAUCAAUCUCACCACCAUGGCUGGCGCCAAGGGCCUCAUAUUUGCACAGUACACUACUAACCUCCUCGACUUCCUGCCUUUGUGUAGGGGCGUUAUGCCCUGUGUAGUGGUGGAUUUUGAGAUCGCACAACGAAUUGCCUCCUAUUGGAGUUGGGUCAAAGGGAAUGCGGUGGUGAAGGUGUCACCUGCCAUGACCGUUGUCGGAAAAGGGGUGUUGUCGCCGAGGGUCGCCUCAUUCUCGUCGAGAGGUCCAAGCAUGUUGUUCCCUAGCAUACUCAAGCCCGACAUUGCUGCACCUGGCGUCAGCAUCUUGGCAGCGGACCGCGACUCCUACGUGUUCAAAUCCGGGACAUCCAUGGCGUGCCCGCAUGUCUCCGCUGUGACCGCACUGCUCAAGUCGGUUCACCCUGGCUGGUCACCUGCCAUGAUCAAGUCUGCCAUCGUCCCCACAGCAUCUGUGACUGAUCGUUUUGGCAUGCCAAUCCAAGCAGAAGCGGUCCCAAGGAAACUAGCUGACCCCUUCGACUUUGGUGGUGGACACAUAGACCCAGAUAGAGCUGUUGACCCUGGCUUGGUUUAUGACGUGGAUGCAAGAGAGUACAACAAGUUUUUGAACUGCACUCUUGGAUAUUUAGAUGGUUGUGAGUCCUACUACCUCAAUCUCAACCUCCCGUCAAUUGUCGUGCCGGACCUCAAGGACCAUGUCAUGCUUCGGCGCACAGUGACUAACGUUGGGCCAGCGGAAGCAACAUAUCAUUUAGUGGUUGAAGCUCCAGCAGGGAUAGAUGUGUCGGUAGAACCAUCUGUGAUUACUUUCACCAAAGGAAGCAGUAGAAGCGCAACAUUUAUGGUGACAUUCACCACAAGGCAGAGAGUGCAAGGAGGAUACACUUUUGGGAGCUUGACAUGGUCAGACGGAAGUACCCACUCAGUUCGAAUUCCGGUUGCUGUACGGACUGUGAUACAAGACUUUGUUGCAGAUACCGCUUAA
Molecule: ribosomal RNA, 2049 nt
Filed under: Triticum aestivum (bread wheat)
Lineage: Eukaryota; Viridiplantae; Streptophyta; Magnoliopsida; Poales; Poaceae
Description: partial small subunit ribosomal RNA
Source: RNAcentral